GAGGAUAUAGCUCAGUGGUAGAGCGCAUGCUUAGCAUGCAUGAGGUCCUAGGUUCAAUCCCCAGUACUUUCA
This 72-nucleotide transfer RNA is filed under the name Camelus bactrianus (Bactrian camel). It matches the Rfam family "tRNA". Rfam says of the family: Transfer RNA (tRNA) molecules are approximately 80 nucleotides in length. RNAcentral also lists the same sequence under 1 other name. The record is from Rfam by way of RNAcentral. Lineage: Eukaryota; Metazoa; Chordata; Mammalia; Artiodactyla; Camelidae.